GAGCCCGUGGCUCAAUGGUAGAGCGUUGGACUCCAAUACCAAAGGUCGCGGGUUCGAAUCCCAGAUGUUUCA
Molecule: transfer RNA, 72 nt
Filed under: Schistocephalus solidus
Lineage: Eukaryota; Metazoa; Platyhelminthes; Cestoda; Diphyllobothriidea; Diphyllobothriidae
Rfam family: tRNA
About the family: Transfer RNA (tRNA) molecules are approximately 80 nucleotides in length. Their secondary structure includes four short double-helical elements and three loops (D, anti-codon, and T loops). Further hydrogen bonds mediate the characteristic L-shaped molecular structure. tRNAs have two regions of fundamental functional importance: the anti-codon, which is responsible for specific mRNA codon recognition, and the 3' end, to which the tRNAs corresponding amino acid is attached (by aminoacyl-tRNA synthetases). tRNAs cope with the degeneracy of the genetic code in two manners: having more than one tRNA (with a specific anti-codon) for a particular amino acid; and 'wobble' base-pairing, i.e. permitting non-standard base-pairing at the 3rd anti-codon position.
Source: Rfam by way of RNAcentral